RNAcentral lists this ribosomal RNA (553 nucleotides) under Vibrio harveyi. RNAcentral's name for it is "partial 16S ribosomal RNA". Lineage: Bacteria; Pseudomonadati; Pseudomonadota; Gammaproteobacteria; Vibrionales; Vibrionaceae. The record is from RNAcentral.
CCACGAAUUACUAAGCGAUUCCGACUUCACGGAGUCGAGUUGCAGACUCCGAUCCGGACUACGACGCACUUUUUGGGAUUCGCUCACUCUCGCAAGUUGGCCGCCCUCUGUAUGCGCCAUUGUAGCACGUGUGUAGCCCUACUCGUAAGGGCCAUGAUGACUUGACGUCGUCCCCACCUUCCUCCGGUUUAUCACCGGCAGUCUCCCUGGAGUUCCCACCCGAAGUGCUGGCAAACAAGGAUAAGGGUUGCGCUCGUUGCGGGACUUAACCCAACAUUUCACAACACGAGCUGACGACAGCCAUGCAGCACCUGUCUCAGAGUUCCCGAAGGCACCAAUCCAUCUCUGGAAAGUUCUCUGGAUGUCAAGAGUAGGUAAGGUUCUUCGCGUUGCAUCGAAUUAAACCACAUGCUCCACCGCUUGUGCGGGCCCCCGUCAAUUCAUUUGAGUUUUAAUCUUGCGACCGUACUCCCCAGGCGGUCUACUUAACGCGUUAGCUCCGAAAGCCACGGCUCAAGGCCACAACCUCCAAGUAGACAUCGUUUACGGCGUG